RNAcentral lists this ribosomal RNA (481 nucleotides) under uncultured bacterium. RNAcentral describes it as "partial 16S ribosomal RNA". It matches the Rfam family "Bacterial small subunit ribosomal RNA", at positions 28 to 507 of the family's 1533-position model. The record is from RNAcentral.
GAUGAACGCUGGCGGCGUGCUUAACACAUGCAAGUCGAACGAAGCACUUUAUUUGAUUUCCUUCGGGACUGAUUAUUUUGUGACUGAGUGGCGGACGGGUGAGUAACGCGUGGGUAACCUGCCUUGUACAGGGGGAUAACAGUUGGAAACGUCUGCUAAUACCGCAUAAGCGCACGGCAUCGCAUGAUGCAUUGUGAAAAACUCCGGUGGUAUAAGAUGGACCCGCGUUGGAUUAGCUAGUUGGUGAGGUAACGGCCCACCAAGGCGACGAUCCAUAGCCGACAUGAGAAGGUGACCGGCCACAUUGGGACUGAGACACGGACGAAACUCCUAGGGGAGGAAGCAGUGGGGAAUAAUGAACGAUGGGCGAAAGCCUGAUGCAGCGACGCCGCGUGAGCGAAGAAGUAGUUCGGUAUGUAAAGCUGUAUGAGAAGGGAAGAUAAUGACGGUACCUGACUAAGAAGCACCGGCUAAAUACGUG